GUGGAUGUAAAUUUUCAUGUGUCACAUUUUUUACCAAUGAAAAAAUUCAAAACUUUAGAAUCAAAUUCAGGAUAAAAUAUUGUUUGAAGCUAUAGGUAUUCAGCGUUCGAUCGAGAAUUCCAAAUCCUGUGACAAACAGCAUAGAUAAUCGAAAGUGAAGCUCUCGCAGUAAUGACCGAACUAAGCAGAACCUAUGGAUGCUGAUUACUGUGAAAAAUCGAUCACCAUCAGUUAGAACAAAGACUCCACCGUUUAACGCUUGUAAUAAAGUGGUGAAAUUCAAUACAACGAGCAGAUCGUUUGAUCCAAGAUAAACUUGAAGAGGUGUUUGCCUAGCUAAAAGCAAGUCUUUCGCAGAAUCCACAUGCACGUGACCACCGUGACCGUUAUCCGCACUUCCGGGCGCCCCGCAUCGCAAUGCUAAAACCUCAGGACGCAGCAAAACUGUACCAGGAUCACACGGCAGCGGUAGCAAUUCCGAGGUCUCUGAACGAAUGGUUUGGUCUGACUGUGGAGGUCGACAAUCACAAUCAACUGGUGGGUGCUCGAAUCGUUUCCGGUGGAAUAAUUGACCGGCAGGGGCUUCCGCAUGCGGAUGAUGUUACAUUGAAGGUGAACGAAGUUCUAUGUCAGAAGAGCUACAGACUAAAAUCCCCCGGGCGAAAGAAUCCGUAACGUUGAAGAUGAGGAGAUGAAAUCCGCCCAUAUCACCAUGGCCGAUGGACCGGUAAAGAAUGAGAAAAAUUUAGAGCCGGGGAAAAACUAACGGACUCGAAACUGUGCCUAUUUCGCUUGAGUUCUGCAAACUAAUGAAUGAUCCAACAGCGUGAACAGAAAUGUCAGUUGUAGUGGUACAUCAUCUAAUGACGAUCCUCAGAAAACAAAGAUUCUCUACUCGCCCCACAUGGCGAUACUGUCUCACUUUCCCGCACUUCUUUUUUCUGAAGCCACAGCAAGUCAACGCAAAACAUU
Long non-coding RNA from Topomyia yanbarensis, 972 nucleotides. RefSeq lists it as uncharacterized. NCBI's taxonomy places the organism in Eukaryota, Metazoa, Arthropoda, Insecta, Diptera, Culicidae. The transcript has 3 exons. The record is from RefSeq and is a predicted model, not a curated record.